AUAUUGCCCUAUGGGGGCAACCCUGAUCCCGCCAUCCCCCCGUCGUGAAUAAGGUCUUCGGUUUCUCCAUCACCUUCAGUUGGUCGGUAGGUCUUUAGGCUAAUACCCUGAAGUUUUGACGUUACCACCAGACUAAGCACCGGCUACCUCUGUGCCAGCAGCCGCGGUAAUACAGAGGGUGCAAGCGUUAAUCGGAAUUACUGGGCGUAAAGCGCGCGUAGGUGGUUCAGUAAGAUGGGUGUGAAAUCCCCGGGCUUAACCUGGGAAGUGCUUGCAUAACUGCAGAGCUAGAGUACGGUAGGGGGUAGUGGAAUUUGCUGUGGAGCGGUGAAAUGAGUAGAUAGAGGAAGGAACACCAGUGGCGAAGGCGAAUACCUGGACUGAUACUGACACUGAGGUGCGAAAGCGUGGGGAGCAAGC
Molecule: ribosomal RNA, 420 nt
Filed under: uncultured bacterium
Lineage: Bacteria
Description: partial 16S ribosomal RNA
Rfam family: Bacterial small subunit ribosomal RNA
Source: RNAcentral